Molecule: long non-coding RNA, 14315 nt
Filed under: Triticum aestivum (bread wheat)
Lineage: Eukaryota; Viridiplantae; Streptophyta; Magnoliopsida; Poales; Poaceae
Description: long non-coding RNA (TAES_LNC012444)
Source: RNAcentral
UUGUUUUUUUCUUUUAAUUUAGUGUUUUCCAUUUAAUUCUUUUUCAUUUCAAAGAUAUUUUACGCUGCUAUAUUAUCCACCAAUGAUGUGGUAACAGGAAAUAAAUGAUGUGGCGAUGAAGCAAUCACAUGGUCGAGAGAGAAGCGGUCGGUCGAGCGAAUAUCGCUGUCAGAGUAAUAACUUCAGGUAUCAGCGUCAGCUUAUAUUGGCUUGGACUAGGAAACAUGCCCGUGCGUUGCAACGAGAGACAAAAAUAUACUCACAUUAUGAAAAGAGCAUUGUGCAGAAGGCAUGAGAACAAGGUUGUUCGGGUGUGUAAAACUAAAAACGAACUCUUGAGAAUUUCAAUCGCAAACAUUAGCCGGCAUAUCUUCACGGGCUUUUGCCAUGCGACCGGUAUCAUAUUCUAUAUAGUGCUGUCGGUGUACAAAAGUAGGGGCUCUCCUUUUGACCCCUUUACUUGUGCACGGGCAGUCGGAGCCACGCGCCACGGCCGCACUGGGCAAGGCAGGGGAGAUGCACCGAGGUAGAACCAAAGCACGAGACAAGCGAGAUGACGCCAAGAUCAAGACCACAAAGGGCAGAGGGACGAAGCAGGUUCCCCCGGCAAGGCCCUUGCCGGGGUAGCUCGCCCCAACACCAACGGAGCAGUCCACCCUUGAGCCCACAGGUUCCAACAUCAUCAACUACGUUGGGCCAGGGCUCGGGAGGCACCUCCAUAGUGGUAUGUAGAUCUUUGUGAAGACAAGAACAACACUCUCAAUCAGAAGAGUGGAAGACGAAGAGCCUCGGCGAGAUCUUUGCCGAGGAAGCCCACAAGACCCCCGACAAGAUCCUUGCCGGGGACGACGGCAACGCCAUGGAAAAACCCUUGUCGGGGCCCCGGCAAGGCCCUUGCCGAGGGCGUCCACGAGGCCGCAGCCGAGCCCGCACCCGCCAAGGUUUUCGCCACCAAUCUCAUGCAGCUGCCAGCCCACCAGCCGGGCAGGCACCUGCGUGUCGACGCAAGGCUCCUCCGACAACUCAGCGCGUGCCUACGUGGUGGCAUGCAGAUCUUCCUGAAGGCUCCACCACCGCGCCACCUCAGCUGCUUGCCUGCCUACAUGGCGCCACCGCCUCGCUGGCUAAGGCGCGUGUCAAGACGAGGCGAAGCGGCGGUAAAGUGGAGGGGACACGUCAGGGGCGCAUUUAAUGCGUCUUUUUCCAUAAUGGCUAGCCAUAAGUUAGCCACAGUACCCCGAUGCCACCUCCUGGUGCCACUGUGGCGAUCCCUUCGCCUAUAAAAGGAGACCCAGGUCAUCCAGGAGAACGAUUCGGACUCUUGGACAAGUUACGCCCCCUGUAGCUAGUUCGAGCUCGUCAAGAACACAGAUAUACACAUCCAAGCAGGACUAGGGUAUUACGCAUCUCUGCGGCCCAAAACUGGGUAAACGAUCCGCGUGCUUGUACUGACUGCUGAUCCUGCUCUCCUCACCACUAAAGCGCCCCGCAACCACAGAAGGGAUCCUCGUGGUCCCAUAGGUGUCGUUUCCCACCGACAUCUUUGGCGCGCCAGGUAGAGGGCGCAGUAGUGAGCAUCUGGUUUUGUGGCCUGUGGCACAGUUCCUCAUCACCAUGGCCCCCAACAAGGAGAUGGCCAGGAGAAAAAGACGCCGCCUGCGAACGCGUAGGACGCCAGCGCGGCAACAAAAGAGCUAAGUCAUGCGAAACCUUAAGCAACUCCCUUUUUAUAUGUGAGGUUAUUGUCCCCGAAGAUUCUGCCCUAUGUAUGGAAGCCUGCACGCAAAUGGGCCCUUCCACGAUUGGCAACGCCCUUGUUCUGUUUCGAGUCCGCUCAACAGCUCAAGCUGCUCCAAGGCCCCGAGAACAACUUCGAAGAACAGGGUCAGCUUGGCGUUGGUGGUCCCGCCGCGCUCUAGGGCGUACCUCGCAUUUGGUAUCCCCAUGGUAGCCAGCUGAGCGGUGAUCCUGCUGGCGACGUCCUCGAGGCGGCCGAUCUAGUGGUUCUGACCAUCCACGAAAUCCUAGUGGGUGGCGGCCUCGUCCUUCCGCAGCUGCUUCUCGGUCUCCAGCUCCUUGGCCAGGGUCCCUUCCCGGGCCUUGGCCUCCGAGAGCAUCCCAUCGAGGGCCUCCAGCUUGAGCUUCAGGUCCCUGAUCGAGUCGUUGGCCUUGGAGAGCUGCUCGGCCUUGCCAAGGAUGGCGCCUUGUGCCUCUGUCAGGGCGCCGUUGAGCGUGUCCUUCUCCUCGGCCAACUUCAGGGUCUGGUCCUUCAGCCUGUCCCGCGCCGCCUCCAACUCCUUCACCAUGCCGGCGUGAAUGAGAGCCUGAGCAUCAAGCGCCUCUCUGUGCCUCUGCUCCAGCUCUUGGGUCCGCUGUGCGACAAGUUUCUCCACCUCUUCAUCCUUGCCGCGGAGCAUGGCGGCGAGCUUCUCCUCAUGCACGUCAACGUCCUGUUCCUGGGUGUUCAGUGCGGCCUCGUGCUGGGUCCGGGCGGCUUCAGCGGCGGCGGCCAAGUUCUUCGCCGCCUCUUGGGCCUUCUCGACGUCGGCCAGCUUCAUGGUGAGCUCCACAUCACGCUUGGCCAGCUCGCCGUGGGCGGCCUUCAGCUUGUCACGAGCCUGGCUAAACCAGUCCUACGUCUCGGCGACGCGCCCCUGGAGGUCCGCCUCCACCUUCUCCGCCACCGCCAUCCUGGACCUAGCUUUGUCCAGGCGGGCACGGUGGAGCGCCUGGAGCUUCCGGAAGCUGGCGCCCAUGGCCUGGAGAAGCCGCUCCUCCUGGGAGCCGUCGCCGCCAAUGGCCUGCUCGUCAACGACCUCAAGCCCGGAGGCGGCAAGCACGUCGUCGUCAAACACCUCUCCCUCCACGGGCGUCCUGGUGCUCGACGCGCCUGGGAGGUGGACGAACAAGUCGUCACUCACCCUCAGGUACUUGCCGGAGCCGGAAGCAGCAGAGGAAGAAGGCUGGUCCUCAGCCACCUCCUCCUCCUCGGGGGCGGCCUUGCCGGCCUCCCUGGCAUGCCCCUUGCCGGCCUCCUCAGCGCCGGCCUUGCCCGCCUCCUCCGCGCCGGCCUUGCCAGCCUCCCCAGCAGGCUCCUUUGCAGCGUCCUCAGCAGCGCCCCUGGCGGCCUCCUCGGCGGUGGUUUUCUCGGCCUCCGCCGCUGUGUUCUUGGCCACGUCCUCGAUGACGAUGUCCAGGUCCUCCCGGUCCGUCGAGAGAGGAUCUGGAUAUCACGAAGAGAGUGGGGGUAAAGCCAAGGUCAAAGAUUCAAAAAGAAGAGAAAAAGCAGGGACGAAGGGCGAGCGACUUACCAGUGCCAGGCUGAGAAGCGGAAGUCCCCUCCCCGCCAACGUUUGGCGCCGGGGCAAAGCCGCCAGCACCCAAGUUCUCCUCCUCCUCCUCCAUUUGCGUGGGCUCGGCGCUUGGCGCCCUUGCCGGAGAUGCCCGUCGGGGCGGCGUAGUCGACGGGGGCGGCGUGUUGGGAGUAGCCCUCUGCGGCUCCUCCUCCUGCUGCUCCCCUCCUACGCACCCGGCAAGGUCAGCACCAGAGUGUCAUACCCCUAACACAUGCUGCCAAGGGGAUAGUAAUGAACUUACGGAGGGGGCUGCUGUCCGGGCUGCUUAACAGCACCAAUGGCGACUUUGAAGUACCAGCCGGGGGCUGGCCUCCCGCCGAGGCCUUGGCCCUCUUCACUCUAUGGGCCAACGUCUCCACAUCCCUGCAAAGACGAAGACAAGUCAAGACAAGUGGUACAGAUAUAAGGGAUGGAGAUGACGGGAAGAGCGGGAUGCUUACUCCUCGUCCACCUCCUCCUUUGUUGCCUUGCUCUUCCUCCUCGGGCUGAGAGAUCCGAGGUCAAAGGAGAGACGCGCGCCGGCGUCUGCCGGGGAAGGAGAGGAAGGCGGGGUCUGCGCACACCUGGAUGAAGAGGAAGUAGAUGCCUUCUUCUUCGCCACCGCGGCUGAAAGUGCAACUUUCCCUGGGUGGUUUUGGUAAUUCCUAACAACAUAUAUCUCAUUGAGCUAAUGCUACUUCAAGAUAAAUAUUUCAGGAAAGCUCAAUGAUUGGCAUGGCAUGGAUGAGAAAAGUGGAUCCCUCAAAAUGCAAAGGACAAAAGGAUUGGCUCAAGCUCAAAGCAGAAGACUCUACAUUUUCUAUUUUAGUGAUCCAAGAUCACAUUGAGUCUAUAGGAAAAGCCAAUACUAUCAAGGAGGGAUGAGGUGUUGCUUAAUGGCUUUCUUGCUCAAAGUGCUUAGUGAUAUGCUCCAAAGCCCUCAACUACUUUCUCAUAUCCACAUAUGACCCAAACCAAAAGUCUAACACGGACCUACCGAUUCUUUCUAUCCGGCGCCACCGAGUUCAGAUGUCAUAGCCACUGCCACAAACCCUAGGCAAAUCAGUCUCACCAAUAGGGAUCUCGGUCUCACCGAGAUGGGGUUGUAAUCUCUCUGUUUCCAUUCGUAACAUUUCGGUCAAACCGGGAUGAGUGAUCGGUCCCACGGAGAUUACAAUGCAAACUCUCUGUUUCCUUUUCGUAACGUUUCGGUUUUACCGAGAUGAGCGAAUCGGUCCCACCGAGUUUGCCUGACCAACUCUCUGGUUAGCUUAUUACCAAAAUCGGGCUCACCGAGUUUGAGUAAUCGGUCUCACCGAGAUUACAUUAUGCCCUAACCCUCAUCAUAUCGGUCCUACCGAGUUGUCAUGUUGGUCCCACCAAAAAUCCUAACGGUCACAUUAUUUGCUAAAUCGGUCCGACCGAGUUUCACGAUUCGGUCCCACCGAGAUUGGUAAGUUGUGUGUAACGGUUAGAUUUUGUGUGGAGGCUAUAUAUACCCCUCCACCCACUGUUCAUUCGUGGAGAGAGCCAUCAGAACGUGCCUACACUUCCAACAUACAUUUUUCUGAGAGAGAACCACCUACACUUGUGUUGAGACCAAGAUAUUCCAUUCCUACCAUAUGAAUCUUGAUCUCUAGCCUUCCCCAAGUUGCUUUCCACUCAAAUCUUCUUUCCACCAAAUCAAUAUCAUGUGAGAGAGAGUUGAGUGUUGGGGAGACUAUCAUUUGAAGCACAAGAGCAAGGAGUUGAUCAUCAACACACAUUUGUUACUUCUUGGAGAGUGGUGUCUCCUAGAUUGGCUAGGUGUCACUUUUGAGCCUCCGACAAGAUUGUGGAGUUGAACCAAGGAGUUUGUAAGGGCAAGGAGAUCGCCUACUUCGUGAAGAUCUACCCUAGUGAGGCAAGUCCUUCAUGGGCGACGGCCAUGGUGGGAUAGACAAGGUUGCUUCUUCGUGGACCCUUCGUCGGUGGAGCCCUCCGUGGACUCGCGCAACCAUUACCCUUCGUGGGUAGAAGUCUCCAUCAACGUGGAUGUACGAUAGCACCACCUAUCGGAACCACGGGUAAAAAAUCUCUGUGUCAACAUUGCGUUUGCUCCCUCAAACUCCUCCCCUUUACCUUCAUAUGCAAUUGUUUUACAUUCCGCUGCUAUACUCUUAGAAUUGCAUGUGUAGGUUGAUUGCUUGACUUGUGCUAAGUUGCUAAAAUCAGCCAAGAACUAAAAUUGGGAAAAGGCUAGAUUUUUAUUUGGUCAAGUAGUCUAAUCACCCCCCCUCUAGACAUACUUUCGAUCCUACAAGUGGUAUCAGAGCUUUGGUCUCCAUUUGUCUUGAUCACCAUAGCUUUUGGUGAUCGUAGCCUUGGUUUCACAACCUAGGAGAGUAUGGCAUCUAGCGAGCGAAAUUACCACUGUAGAGGUCCUUACUUUGAUGGUACUAAUUUUGCUAGUUGGAAGCAUAAGAUGAAAAUGCAUAUUUUUGGACAUAACCCCGCCGUUUGGGCUAUUGUGUGCAUUGGCUUGCAAGGUGAAUUCUUUGAUGGGAGAGAACCGAGUCGUGAAGCUACCGCGGAAGAGUUGAAGAUGUUGCAAUACAACGCUCAAGCUUGUGAUAUCCUCUUCAACGGAUUGUGCCACGAAGAAUUCAACAAAAUCAGCCGUCUUGAGAAUGCAAAGGAAAUUUGGGAUACUUUGAUUGAUAUGCACGAAGGUACCGACUCUGUCAAGGAAUCCAAAUUGGAUGUGCUUCAAAGUCAGCUUGACAAGUUCAAAAUGAAGGAUGGUGGUGGUGUCGCUAAAAUGUACUCUAGGCUUUCUCUUAUCACAAAUGAGAUUGCCGGCUUAGGAAGUGAAGAGAUGACCGACAAAUUCAUCAUCAAGAAGAUCCUAAGAGCUUUGGACGGAAAAUAUGAUACCGUGUGCACAUUGAUCCAAAUGAUGCCAAAUUACAAAGAUCUCAAGCCAACGGAAGUCAUUGGAAGAAUUGUUGCUCAUGAGAUGUCACUCAAGGAUAAGGAGGAUCUCCACAACAAGUCAAGUGCUUACAAAGCCUCAUGUGAAGCUCCCAUAUCAUCAAGUGAGAAACAAACCUUCAAUGAAGAAUUGAGCCUAAUGGUGAAGAACUUCAACAAGUUCUACAAGAGUAGAAGCAUGGAGAGAAGUUCCAAGUCAAGGUCAUACAAUGACAAAAGAUCUUCUAGUCGUGAGCGUAAUUGCUACAAUUGUGGAAGACCCGGACACUAUUCCAAUGAGUGUACGGCACCCUACAAAAGAAGGGAAGAUUCUCAAAAGAGAAGAAGUAGAAGAGAAGAAUCACCAUCAAGAGAGAGAAGGAGUAGAGAUGAUCGUUAUGAACAAAGAACAUCCCGGAGAAGCAAGGAUUCGGAAAGGAAGGACAAGUCAUCAAGGAGCUACACAAAACAAAGACAUCAAGCUCAUGUUGGUGAAUGGGUAUCCGGCUCCGACUCCGACAAUCAUUCCGAGAGAAGUUAUCACUCCGACUCUGAAAAUACUCAAGAUGAAGGUGUUGCCGGUCUAGCACUUGUGUCAACCAACUCCAACGACAUAUUUCAUUCACCAAAUGAAGGACUUGGAAGAUGCUUCAUGGCUAAAGGCCCAAAGGUAUCACACCCCGAGUAUGUUGAUUUCAAUAGUGAUGAAGAUGACUUGUUAGGUGAUGAUGAUUUACUUGUUGACAACUCUAGUGAUGAAUACUAUGAUGAAACGUCAAUUAAUCAUGCUAAUCAAGAUAAAACGAAUGACAAUGAUAAGGAGAAGAUUGAGCACCUAACUAAAGAACUAAACACUCUUAAGUUAGCUCAUGAAACUAUCUUAGAAGAUCAUCGAGAACUUUUAAGGACUCAUGAGAAGUUACGUUUCGAAAAGCUCAACCUUGAGCAAGAGCAUGAGUCCUUAAAGGCAAUCAAUGAUGAUCUUCGCAAGAAAAUUUCUUCUUACAUUGCCAAGCGUUUACUCCUAUCUACUUACAUGCCUCAAGUCGAGUCUAGUAACAAGAACAAGAAGGAUUUUUCCUCUAGUAGUAACAAUAAUCAUGCUAAAUCCAAUGUUGUUGCUUCUAGUAGUUCUCUUGAUUCCACAAAUGAUUCUCUUAGCCAAGUUACACUUGAGCAAGAAAAUAGCUUAUUGAAGGGAAUUAUAGAGAAAGGUGUUUACAAGAGCCUUGCCGGGAGUAAGCAAUUCGAGGAAAUUGUACACAAGCAAGGAAGGCACCGGAAGAACCAAGGUGUUGGUUUUGAACGAAAGUUCAGUGCCAAUGGAGUUGAGUGGGAAGAAGAUCAAUUCCCCAAGACGAAGUUUGUUCCUCAACAAGAGAAGUAUGAUCCUACUUCCUUCAAAGGGACACAAGCUCAAGAUGAUCUUCCACCACAAGACCACAAGCAAAAAUGCAAGGACAAGCUUCAAGAGGAGAUUGAUGCAUUUGAAGAAGCUCAUAAGGCCUUGGUCAAGUGGGUUCCCAAGACUACGACAAGUUCUACCUCAUCAAGUACAACUACAACUCCAAGGAUUCCCAUCAAGAUGACGUGGAUCCCAAAGAAGAAGAACUAGAGAGUUCUUGAGGGUGACUCCGCCAACAUAUUUCACUCUUAUCAUUUUGGCAAGGACAAGUGCAAUCAACUUCCACAUCUUGCACUAGUUCAAGGAGUCACAAACUCUCUUGUUGGUAAGACAAGGGACAAGGUAACCCAAUGCUUUCAUGGACAUCAUCUUGUGUGUGCAUCACUCUAUGUCUAUGGAUAUCCUUGUUUGUUACUUGUGGGACUAACCCGUGUAGGUAUUGAAAGUGCAACUCACUCCAAGGGAUUGCUCCACAUCUUCAACACCUACAUCAACAUUGAGCAUCCACAUCUUCAACACCUACAUGAAGUCAUCAUCGACAAAACCCAAGGCUAGUCCAUCCCUCUUAGGGGGGAUCUCACAUCUAGGGGGAGCUUUACUCUAAGAAUUGAGCUAAAGCAACUCUAAUGGUGUGAACACAACAAUGCUUUAUGUAAAAGUGGUAACCCCACUUGUGCUUAAACGAUGAGUAUGACCGAUGAUCAAAUGAUUCUCAUUUGACUCCUAUGUCAAUAUACUCAUCUAUAGAUGACCUAGUCAUCGCCAAUUGCUUGAUAGAUGCUAGAAUGGUUGUGCAUGCUUUGCCACAUAUUUCAUUUGUCACUUUAUUGUGUGAGCAUGUUGGUUGCAUAAUUUACUCAUUCGAGGACAUCCACUUGUAGCUUUGAUUGUUCGGAUUCUUUUCUUUUGCCAAGUGGAUGGACAAGAAUGCCUAAGAACCUUCUCUAGCUAUCUAUGCUUUUCUUGUCUCAAACUCUAUUCAUGCUACAUCACAAAGUUUGAUCAAGUCCGAUUCGAACCACUCUGUGUGAGGAGCACUCGGAGUCCCCGAUUCGUCAUAGACUUAAACUUCCAAAACCUCUUUGUGUGUUUCGGUCUGACCGAUUCAUCCAUUUCGGUCAUACCGAGAUCACUAAGUUGAUCUAGGUUUUCAAUCUCGGUGCAACCGAUUUGAACUUUUCGGUAUGCCGAGUUGCUGUAACUGCUUGCAAUUAUGCAUCUCGGUGCCACCGAGUUGUUCCACUCGCUCACACCGACAGGGUCAGGCUAUAUAUAUCCACGGGAAAAAAUUUGGAAAUUUUUCCGAACCUCUUCGCCCGCGCACUGCCUGCUCUGCCUCCUCGGGUCUCUGGAUCGUCCUCCUCGUCGCCAGCGACCUCCAGCCGCUGGUCUCCACCGCCGUCAACAGGAUUCUACUCCGCCGUUGCCGCCGUAGCAAGUCCAUCACCGCAUUAGGGUAUGGAUUUGAAACUUUGUGCUAUUCCUCACUCCGAUUCCUAGCACAUUGCAUUGCCAUGUAUCUUGCCACGAUUGAGAUCUUCCUAUCCAGCGAAAACACUCCGUAGAUUAGUUUUGGAUUCAAAAUUGAGGGUUAGGUUUCCGCCGAACUCAUCUCGGACCGACCGAGUUGUAGAAAUCGGUCCCACCGAUUUGGCUCAGGCCAGUGCACAUGUGAUUCUCGGUCUGACCGAGAAUUGCAAAUCGGUGUGACCGAGUUCGAUUUUUUGUGAAACCCCAGCAGUCUCGGUGCCACCGAACCGUGACUCGGUCUGACCGAGUUCACUAGUUUACGUUCCAAAAGCUGCUUCGGUAUCACCGAGUUUACAAAUCGGUAGCUCCGAAAUGCUUUCUGUGGAAAACUAAAACUAAGUCUUUCACUCAAUCUUUUUGCAAAAACCUCUGUGCUUUGUGAUGCUCAUCCACUCUACCUCAUCUAUAUCUAUUCACAGCGUCUGCUGUCAGGGUUUGCACCAUGUCAGAUCAGAGUGACAGUCAGAACAAGUCUGAGGAGCAAGUUCAGAUGAGUGAGGGCACUAGUCCCUCUAGCAGUUCUGAUGAGGGUAGCAGCAGCACACCCAGCAAUUUGCCAAAGGCAGCCACCAGGGCCAGAAAGAAGAGAACAUCUGAGUCUGAAGAUGAUGACUAUGUGGCUGUUGAGGAUGAGGCCACCUCAAAGAAGAAAGUUCUGAAGAAGGAAUAUGGCACAGCUGCUACCACUAAGUCUGGACUGAAAACUAAGAUGCGAGCAAGAAGACAGCCCAUGUCUAAGCCAAGAAAAGUUGCCACUGGUGAAACCAUGAAGUUCACCAUUGAGUCUGAUAAUGAAGCUGCUGGCCAAGAUAAGAAGAAGAAGAGAGUCAGAACUACUUCUGCCAAAGUACUUGGCAAGCCCUCAAUAAGGAGAGACUCUGAAGAUGAAGAGGAAGAGGAUGCUGCACCAGCUCCUAAAGCUCAAAAGCUGAUGGGAGAUGCUAUAAGGUCAGGGGCUGCUCCAUCUAAGCCCAAAGGUGCUCCCAAAGCUGCUGCUCCUAAAGCCAAGUCUGCACCCAAGAGAAACACCAGAAAUAUUCCAGCUGCAGAGAAGAACAAGGCCCCCUAGUGCCUGAAGCUGCUGAAGAAGAAGAUGGAGACUCACUUGUCUUGAGAAAGCUGAAGCCCAAGAUCCUAGAUCAUAAUGAUGCUCACCCAGUUGCAGAAGAUAUGAAGCUCAGGAAGGAUGCAGGUCUGAGACAGUGGAGAUUGACUGACCCCUAUGCAGUCAGGAGAAGGACUGCUAUGGACUACAAGUUUCACACUAAAGAACAGCAGGAUUUCUAUGGGACAGUGCUGCUUGACAAGAAGCCCAUAGUUUGUGAUAUGAGAUGGGUUGACUGGGAGUAUAUCAGGAAGAAUGAAGAGCACUAUCCUGGAGUUUAUGACAGUUUCAAGUCUUGUGGAGUAGUAGGCUUUGUUGGGCAGAAGCUCACAAAGUGGAAUGAUGAGCUCAUUAUGCAAUUUUACUCCACAGCUCAUUUCUACCCAGAUGGGAGGAUAGUCUCGAUGUAUGAGGGUACAAGGUACCAAUCAACAGUUUAAGAAUGUUCUGAGUUGAUAAAUGCUCCAAAAGAGAAUGAGGAUGACUUGGAUAUCUAUGCCAAGAAGAAGAAAGACCACAACUCUAUGGCUCACAUGUACAGAGGGAUCCCAGAUGCUGCACUUGAGACUCACAAGUUUGGAUUUGUACACUAUUUGUUGUCAGGACUGCCCACUAUCAACUGGAUUUUAAGGCAUACUUUGCUGCCCAAGUCAGGUUAUCACAAGAUGAUCAGAGGCCAUGCAAUUAAUUUGCUUCACAUAUUUGAUGUGCCUCAGAAGUUCAAAGUCAAGAGCCUGAUUGUGGAAACAAUGAAAAGGACUACUGCUGAUCAAAAGAGGAGUUUUGGGUAUGCCCCACAGAUUCAGGAGCUUAUAAACUCCAAGAUGGGCACUGGCACAUAUCUCUUGGACAAGGAACACCUGCCCAUCGACCCUGAUUUUGAGGACAAUACUGUUGUGAUGGAUGACAAUGAACCAUCUUCUGUGCAAGCACAAGAGAAGAAGGAGAAGGCUGCAAAGAUGCUAACUGCUGAAGAGGCAUCUCUGAUUCUUCUGAAGAGAAAGCAAGAUCAGCUUGGUUACUUGAUUGCCUCCACUCUGAGGAUUGCGAAGGGCUUGGCCACCCUAAAUCAAAACCAGGAGAGCUUGGAGAGAAUCAUAGAGCAGAAGUUUUAUGCUCUUGAUGUCAAAGUGACAGAGAUGCAAACUUCGGUUGAGCAACUUCAGGAGGAUGUGGAGGAGAAGAAGGGCAUGUCUACCACAGAUGCUUUUGCUAGAGUGCCCAGAGGUCAGAGAUCUGCUGCAGUGCCUGUUCCAGACACCAGAGCUACAUCAUAUGCACCAGCUACAGCUUCAGUGCAUCCAGCUCCAGCACUAUGCAUUUUUUAUGAACUUUUUGGUAACUUGUUGCCAAAGAGGGAGAAAAUGUAUAGAUCAUAGGCUUCGAGAGAGAGAGAGUGUUGCUUUUGGUCUCUCUUGUAUUUUUGGUGGUUGAAUUUCGUUGUUUGCCCGUUUGCUUAAUACUCCAUGCCUUUUGUGAUACUUGCAUGAUCAUGUGUUUGAUCAUAUGCUAUGCUACAUUAAUGCUUGUUGGAUGAUAUUAUCUCCUAUAUCCUCAUAUGAUCAUUCACUUUGCUUGGUGAUGAGUGCAUGAAUUUAAUUAUUUUCAUUUUGAGCGCUCCACCAAGAUGUAUGUGACAUGGAAGAGUAACCCAUGAUCCUGACUCAUUGUGCAUUUGCAGUCCAAAGCAAAUUUUAAAUAAUGCACAAAUUUAGGGGGAGCUCUUACUUUUCACAUACUUCUCAAAGCGACAAUGUUUCUCAAUCUUAUUAUCAUUUGUCGAAGCUUUGAUCUAUAUGUUGUCAUCAAUUACCAAAAAGGGGGACAUUAAAUGUGCAACUAUCCCUGGGUGGUUUUGGUAAUUCCUAACAACAUAUAUCUCAUUGAGCUAAUGCUACUUCAAGAUAAAUAUUUCAGGAAGCUAAGGACAAAAGGAUUGGCUCAAGCUCAAAGCACAAGACACUACAUCUUCUAUUUUAGUGAUCCAAGAUCACAUUGAGUCUAUAGGAAAAGCCAAUACUAUCAAGGAGGGAUGAGGUGUUGCUUAAUGGCUUUCUUGCUCAAAGUGCUUAGUGAUAUGCUCCAAAGCCCUCAACUACUUUCUCAUAUCCACAUAUCACCCAAACCAAAACUCUAACUCGGCCCUACCGAUUCUUUCUAUCCGGCACCACCGAGUUCAGAUGUCAUAGCCACUGCCACAAACCCGAGGCAAAUCGGUCUCACCGAUAGGGAUCUCGAUCUCACCGAGAUGGGGUUGUAAUCUCUCUGUUUCCAUUCGUAACGUUUCGGUCAAACCGAGAUGAGCGAUCGGUCCCACCGAGAUUACAAUGCAAACUGUCUGUUUCCCUUUCGUAACAUUUCGGUCUUACCAAAAUGAGCGAAUCGGUCCCACCGAGUUUGCCUGACCAACUCUCUAGUUAGCUUAUUACCAAAAUCGGUCUCACCGAGUUUGAGUAAUCGGUUUCACCGAGAUUACGUUAUGCCCUAACCCUAAUUAUAUCGGUCCUACCGAGUUGUCAUGUUGGUCCCAUCGAAAAUCCUAACGGUCACAUUAUUUGCUAAAUCGGUCUGACCGAGUUUCAUGAUUCGGUCCCACCGAGAUUGGUAAGUUGUGUGUAACGGUUAGAUUUUGUGUGGAGGCUAUAUAUACCCCUCCACCCACUCUUCAUUCGUGGAGAGAGCCAUCAGAAUGUGCCUACACUUCCAACAUACAUUUUUCUGAGAGAGAACCACCUACACUUGUAUUGAGACCAAGAUAUUCCAUUCCUACCGUAUGAAUCUUGAUCUCUAGCCUUCCCCAAGUUGCUUUCCACUCAAAUCUUCUUUCCACCAAAUCCAUAUCCUGUGAGAGAGAGUUGAGUGUUGGGGAGACUAUCAUUUAAAGCACAAGAGCAAGGAGUUCAUCAUCAACACACCAGUUGUUACUUCUUGGAGAGUGGUGUCUCCUAGAUUGGCUAGGUGUCACUUGGGACCCUCCGACAAGAUUGUGGAGUUGAAACUAGGAGUUUCUAAGGGCAACACUACAGGAAACAGGUAAUUUGCCGUCUGUAGAUUAUAAACGGCAAAGACCUAAAUCCAAACGGCAAAGAUUUUGCUGUCAAGAAGCAAACGGCAAAGUCAGACGGCAAAGAUAAGUCAGCAAAGAAUACUUUGUCGUCAGCUUUUCAUCGGCCAGACGGCAAAGACUUUGCCGUCAGCAAAAUCUUCUUUGCCGCCAGCCUUAUAAAUCACAGAUGGCAAAGAAAUGCAGUUCUGCCGUCAGCUAUUCACAUCUUUGCCGUCAGCCUCGUAUAUCACAGACGGCAAAGAAAGGGGUCAAAUUAAAAAAAACACAGCAACUUUGCCCCCGAGCGAUGCGGUCAACUCAUUUGAGUGCAAUGCCUAUCUUUCUUCUUUUUUAACAAGGGGAAGGCCCAUCCGUGUGUAGUGCCGUUUCAUUCAACGUCAGUGGAGUACAAAAUGCAAACAUCACCCAAAAAAACCUAAACUUACAAAGUAGUCCUGGAAAUUAACACAAAGGACCCUAACAAGUAAGACCAAAAAGCAAUCGGGUCCUUCUUCUCCACUCCGUUGCUCUGCCCACCCCGCCGUCCAGCCAACGCUCGCCUCGCCCCUGUGCUGUUCUGCUCGCCUCGCCGCUGUGCCGUUCUGCUUGCUGCGCCGCCGCCCGGCCCUGCUCAGCCGCGCAACUCCGGCCCAAUCGCGCUCAGAAGCUGACUCGCUCCAGCGCCGCGGGGAGGCACGCGAGGGAGGUCGGGGUUGGUCGGUGCUCGACCGGUGGAGCGCCCGGCUGCUCUAGCGGCGGAGCUCGCGAGGCAGAGAGGAGGAGCUCGGGGUGUGGACGGGAUCGGGGGCGCGACCGGAGGAGCUCGAGUGCGCAUGGCCGGCCGGUGAGGACGAGCUCGCGAGGGGUGGAGCUUCACGCGGCGCUGGCGAGGUGGCGGAUGGAUGGGCAGAAGGGCGCUGGGCAUGGCGGCGGACGGACGGC